Molecule: ribosomal RNA, 389 nt
Filed under: Clostridioides difficile
Lineage: Bacteria; Bacillati; Bacillota; Clostridia; Peptostreptococcales; Peptostreptococcaceae
Description: bacterial LSU rRNA
Rfam family: Bacterial large subunit ribosomal RNA
Source: RNAcentral
AGAUACGGAGGUAGAGCACUGAAUGUCCUAGGGGGUAUUGCACCUACCGAAGACUAUCAAACUCCGAAUGCCGUCAUCUUAUACUUGGGAGUCAGACUGUGGGUGAUAAGAUUCAUAGUCGAAAGGGCAACAGCCCAGAUCGUCAGCUAAGGUCCCUAAAUGUAAGUUAAGUGGUAAAGGAUGUGGGAUUGCACAGACAACCAGGAUGUUGGCUUAGAAGCAGCCACUCAUUCAAAGAGUGCGUAAUAGCUCACUGGUCGAGUGAUCCUGCGCCGAAGAUUUCCGGGGCUAAAACUUACUACCGAAGCUACGGCAUCAUUAAUGAUGGGUAGGGGAGCUUCCCAUACGGGUUGAAGCAUGACCGUAAGGACAUGUGGACAGUAUGGGAG